AGUCUUGAGGUGUUACCACGUAGGAUUGCAAAUCCUAAGAAGUAGGAGAGAUCCUACCGGGACUU
RNAcentral lists this transfer RNA (65 nucleotides) under Ogcocephalus nasutus (shortnose batfish). RNAcentral describes it as "tRNA-Cys". The record is from RNAcentral. RNAcentral also lists the same sequence under 2 other names. Lineage: Eukaryota; Metazoa; Chordata; Actinopteri; Lophiiformes; Ogcocephalidae.